CACUUAUGUAAAUGCCUAAAUUUUGUUGUCAUACCCCGUGAGCUGAACUCAAACCCUGUUGCUACAGUUUUGUUUCAGCCAGGCAGAAACCAAUUCUCAUUGUCAUUUGAGGAUCUCACCUUUCUUUGCCUGCAGCUACUGGUCUUAAAGAUCCUCUGAGUCCCCUGCCACAUUUGUCAGGCCUGUGUGAAUGACUUGGAUGACUAAAACAUUUCACACAGCAGUAGAACUGCAUGUUCCAUCAACUAAAUUUAUUCUUCACCAUUUUGAAGAGACUAACCCAAGGCUACUUUUUCCAGAAGUUAUGCCCUAAGAAUAUCUGAAAAUGUAAAAAAAAAAGACUACCAGUAUUAAAAAGUUUUAAAUGUAACUCUAAGUCAUUAUUUGCAAAUAAGAAUACAAAUGCCAGCUGUGAGAGAUCUCUACAGUUAAUGAAAAGAGAGAAUGAAUAUUUGCUUCCGCUUAACUCCAGAGCUGAUCUGGUCCACAACACAGGUAAGUGAACUACAGAAAAUGCAUGGUUUUAAGAUUUUCAUUCUCUUCUAUUCAUCUAUAAAAAGAAUGCCACAAUAAAUCUGUAAUACUGAAGUAAUUCUCAGUUAAUCUUGAGUUUCUCUAAAUUCUGAACUACUUUGCCAAAAGAUAAUUACAUUUACAUGCUGAAAGUCAAAGGUUAUUGAAUUGUUUUCCAGCUUUUAGUUUAAUUUAUCCUUUGACACUGACCUUUCCCCUCUUAGUCAGCUAGAAAUCAGACACUGAAAUCCAGGCUGACUGCACCAGCCUCUCUCAAUGGCAAAAAACACCCAAUAAGAACCAGUCAUUUUAUCAGACUAGAAGUUAGAACACUUGAGCUCCCAAGGUAGCAGAGGUGAAUUGCAUUGUAAGUGAAAAUUAGGAAAUAGCAGCUCUUGAGUCAUUUGCAAAUUUUGAAGACAAGAAGAAACAACUUCGGAAAGAACUGCAUGCUGCCUGAUGUGGAACCAUGAAGCUGAGUGUAACUCCUCAAACAUAAUGCAAAAACAGGCGGAGCUGCUGCACAGCUGCUUCAGCAGCGGCGAUGGCUGCCCCAGCGUCUUCAAGGUGAGUUUGAGUGACGCUGGUUUUGCUUUGGCUGCGAGAAGGACCGUGAGAGCGGAGAUGGCCUUCAGAAG
Motacilla alba alba is the source of this 1151-nucleotide long non-coding RNA. RefSeq lists it as uncharacterized. The transcript is spliced from 3 exons. The record is from RefSeq and is a predicted model, not a curated record. Lineage: Eukaryota; Metazoa; Chordata; Aves; Passeriformes; Motacillidae.